RNAcentral lists this ribosomal RNA (433 nucleotides) under uncultured bacterium. Its description in RNAcentral is "partial 16S ribosomal RNA". It matches the Rfam family "Bacterial small subunit ribosomal RNA", at positions 29 to 507 of the family's 1533-position model. The record is from RNAcentral.
AACGAACGCUGGCGGCAUGCUUAACACAUGCAAGUCGAACGAGACCUUCCGGUCUUGGUGCGCACGGGUGCGUAACACGUGGGAACCUGCCCUUGGGUUCCCUAUACCUCCCCGUAAGGUGUGCUAAUACCACAUAAUCUCUUCCGACCAAAGAUUUAUCGCCUCUGGGUGGGGCCGCGUUAGAUUAGCGAGUUGGUAGGGUAAAAGCAUCCCAAGGCGUGGAUGCUUAGCUGGUAUGUGAGGAUGAUCAGCAGGAAUGGCACUGAGACACGGCCCAGACUGGUACGGAAGGGAGCGGUAGAGAAUAUAGGGCGAUGAAGGAAAGCGUGACAAAGCAGUGCCGGGUGAGAGAGGAAGGCGUUAGGGUUGUAAAGUUCUUUUACACGGAAUGAUAAUGACAGUACCGGGAGAAGAAGCACCGGCUAACUACGUG